Molecule: ribosomal RNA, 301 nt
Filed under: uncultured bacterium
Lineage: Bacteria
Description: partial 16S ribosomal RNA
Rfam family: Bacterial small subunit ribosomal RNA
Source: RNAcentral
CAGCCGCCGCGGGAAUACGUAGGUCCCGAGCGUUGUCCGGAUUUAUUGGGCGUAAAGCGAGCGCAGGCGGUUAGAUAAGUCUGAAGUUAAAGGCUGUGGCUUAACAAUAGUACGCUUUGGAAACUGUUUAACUUGAGUGCAAGAGGGGAGAGUGGAAUUCCAUGUGUAGCGGUGAAAUGCGUAGAUAUAUGGAGGAACACCGGUGGCGACAGCGGCUCUCUGGCUUGUAACUGACGCUGAGGCUCGAAAGCGUGGGGAGCAAACAGGAUUAGAUACCCGAGUAGUCCCUGUCUCUUAUACA